UCUCUGGUGGCUUAGUGGCAAAGAAUCUGCCUGCCAAGCAGAAGACACCAGUUCAAUCCCUGGAGAA
Molecule: transfer RNA, 67 nt
Filed under: Bos taurus (domestic cattle)
Lineage: Eukaryota; Metazoa; Chordata; Mammalia; Artiodactyla; Bovidae
Also listed under: 3 other names
Rfam family: tRNA
About the family: Transfer RNA (tRNA) molecules are approximately 80 nucleotides in length.
Source: Rfam by way of RNAcentral